This 238-nucleotide long non-coding RNA is filed under the name Elaeis guineensis (African oil palm). RNAcentral describes it as "long non-coding RNA (EGUI_LNC009109)". The record is from RNAcentral. Lineage: Eukaryota; Viridiplantae; Streptophyta; Magnoliopsida; Arecales; Arecaceae.
CUGCCGUAGAAUUUAUGGUCCUGAUACCCGAGUUUCUGAAAGACCUUAUGGACAUGGUAUAUAGUUUUUCUAGUUCUCUUUUAGUUUUUCUUUAUGAUUGGCACCAAAGGGUGCCUUUGCACCAUCUAAUUUUGUUCUGGCACUGAGCUUUAAUUGAUCCUCAUGGAUUUAUGCUCUCACAGCUAUUUUAUUGUACCAUGGAUACAUUCAUGUGUAACCAAUUCAUUUUUUAUGCUCA